This 624-nucleotide unclassified non-coding RNA is filed under the name Bombyx mandarina (wild silkworm). RNAcentral's name for it is "uncharacterized LOC114246997, transcript variant X1". Lineage: Eukaryota; Metazoa; Arthropoda; Insecta; Lepidoptera; Bombycidae. The record is from RNAcentral.
AAUUACGGUCCUGAAUUUCCUUGUCAACUUCAUUAAUGCAUUCGUGAACUUAUCAAUGAUCAUUACGAAUUCAUAUUAUUUACGAGACUAAUUUAAAGUUAAAUCGCGAAUGGCUGGCUUUAUCGAUAAGCGAAACACGCGAAUGCUACGGUAGGCGGGAAGCCGGCAGACGCCGUAUGGCCGACCGCGGCAAACAUCGCGUCGCGCCCGUCCCGGCGCCGGCCCGUAAGCAGUACGCGUACGUGCCGUGCCCGAGGUCCGAGGAGGUCGGCACGGAGUUCGCGCUCCAACUCCUCAAGAACUACCACGAUGAACCAGAGACGCCAAGGAAAAUCGUACACGGCAAGUAUCAUCUGGUCGUGGGAGUCGGUAGAAUAAUUGUUAUAUAAAUGUCACGAUUCAUCAUAAGACUUCGAACUCAACUCUGUGUGGGCCGUAAAAUAACUGCUUCAUGACAGAAAAGGAUGGAUGUAUCUUUGUAUUUGUGGACGCGUGGGAGGAACCCCAGGAGAGAAGUGGUUGUUUCGUCGGUUCAACGCCGUUCAACACACCAGCCCUAAAAGAGCUUUCAGAAGAUGGUGCAAACCUAUUGGAUGACAUUAGUAGCAAGAGCACAGAUAUGAC